This 450-nucleotide ribosomal RNA is filed under the name uncultured bacterium. RNAcentral's name for it is "partial 16S ribosomal RNA". It matches the Rfam family "Bacterial small subunit ribosomal RNA", at positions 354 to 796 of the family's 1533-position model. The record is from RNAcentral.
GUGGGGAAUUUUGGACAAUGGGCGAAAGCCUGAUCCAGCCAUGCCGCGUGCAGGAUGAAGGCCUUCGGGUUGUAAACUGCUUUUGUACGGAACGAAAAGACUCCUUCUAAUAAAGGGGGUCCAUGACGGUACCGUAAGAAUAAGCACCGGCUAACUACGUGCCAGCAGCCGCGGUAAUACGUAGGGUGCAAGCGUUAAUCGGAAUUACUGGGCGUAAAGCGUGCGCAGGCGGUUAUAUAAGACAGAUGUGAACACCCCGGGCUCAACCUGGGAACUGAAUUUGUGACUGUAUAGCUAGAGUACGGUAGAGGGGGAUGGAAUUCCGCGUGUAGCAGUGAAAUGCGUAGAUAUGCGGAGGAACACCGAUGGCGAAGGCAAUCCCCUGGACCUGUACUGACGCUCAUGCACGAAAGCGUGGGGAGCAAACAGGAUUAGAUACCCGUGUAGUCC